GCCGAUGUAGCUCAGCGGUAGAGCAAUUGAUUCGUAAUCAGUAGGCCAUCGGUUCAAAUCCGAUCAUCGGCUCCA
RNAcentral lists this transfer RNA (75 nucleotides) under bacterium. Its description in RNAcentral is "tRNA-Thr". It matches the Rfam family "tRNA". From Rfam's summary of the family: Transfer RNA (tRNA) molecules are approximately 80 nucleotides in length. Their secondary structure includes four short double-helical elements and three loops (D, anti-codon, and T loops). Further hydrogen bonds mediate the characteristic L-shaped molecular structure. tRNAs have two regions of fundamental functional importance: the anti-codon, which is responsible for specific mRNA codon recognition, and the 3' end, to which the tRNAs corresponding amino acid is attached (by aminoacyl-tRNA synthetases). tRNAs cope with the degeneracy of the genetic code in two manners: having more than one tRNA (with a specific anti-codon) for a particular amino acid; and 'wobble' base-pairing, i.e. permitting non-standard base-pairing at the 3rd anti-codon position. The record is from RNAcentral.